GACGAACGCUGGCGGCGUGCUUCCUUAUGCAAGUCGAACGGAAAGGCCUGCAGCUUGCUGCGGGUACUCGAGUGGCGAACGGGUGAGUAACACGUGGGUGAUCUGCCUUGCACUUCGGGAUAAGCUUGGGAAACUGGGUCUAAUACCGGAUAGGACAGCUGUUUAGUGUCAGUUGUGGAAAGUUUUUUCGGUGCAAGAUGAGCUCGCGGCCUAUCAGCUUGUUGGUGGGGUAAUGGCCUACCAAGGCGUCGACGGGUAGCCGGCCUGAGAGGGUGUACGGCCACAUUGGGACUGAGAUACGGCCCAGACUCCUACGGGAGGCAGCAGUGGGGAAUAUUGCACAAUGGGCGGAAGCCUGAUGCAGCGACGCCGCGUGGGGGAUGAAGGCCUUCGGGUUGUAAACUCCUUUCGACAGGGACGAAGCGUAAGUGACGGUACCUGUAUAAGAAGCACCGGCUAACUACGUGCCAGCAGCCGCGGUAAUACGUAGGGUGCGAGCGUUGUCCGGAAUUACUGGGCGUAAAGAGCUCGUAGGUGGUUUGUCGCGUCGUCUGUGAAAUUCCGGGGCUUAACUCCGGGCGUGCAGGCGAUACGGGCUGACUUGAGUGCUGUAGGGGAGACUGGAAUUCCUGGUGUAGCGGUGAAAUGCGCAGAUAUCAGGAGGAACACCGAUGGCGAAGGCAGGUCUCUGGGCAGUAACUGACGCUGAGGAGCGAAAGCACGGGUAGCGAACAGGAUUAGAUACCCUGGUAGUCCAUGCCGUAAACGGUGGGCGCUAGGUGUAGGGGGCUUCCACGUCUUCUGUGCCGUAGCUAACGCAUUAAGCGCCCCGCCUGGG
RNAcentral lists this ribosomal RNA (838 nucleotides) under uncultured Actinomycetes bacterium. Its description in RNAcentral is "bacterial SSU rRNA". It matches the Rfam family "Bacterial small subunit ribosomal RNA", at positions 28 to 877 of the family's 1533-position model. The record is from RNAcentral. Lineage: Bacteria; Bacillati; Actinomycetota; Actinomycetes.